Molecule: long non-coding RNA, 575 nt
Organism: Capra hircus (goat)
Lineage: Eukaryota; Metazoa; Chordata; Mammalia; Artiodactyla; Bovidae
Exons: 2
Source: RefSeq, a predicted model, not a curated record
CAGUCCCUAGCUGGGGAACUAAGAUCCUGCACGUGUGACCAGAAAACAGAAAACAAACAAACAAGCAAAAAAGAGAUGAGAUGGCUCAGUCAUUCAGAGGACUUUCUGAAUCUCAGCAGCAAGGUUUCUGCUCCAGGCACUCCAGCCUGCUUUACCAUGUUGCCUGUGGUCUGUGCACUUACCAUGGUUACUUUUCAUCCUCUCGGCAUUCCUCCCUGACAGCAGGAAAUACAGCUGGGCAGUCUACAACUCUCUGUUCUCCGAUCACUGUCGUUUCAUUUGUAGGUAGCAGCGCCCAAGCCCCCUGUGUGAUUUUGAUGUUGUUGUUCACUCGCCAAGUCAUGUCCGACUCUCUGUGACACCACGGGCUGUAGCCCACCAGGCUCCUUUGUCCAUGGGAUUUCCCAGGCAAGAAUACUGGGGAGGCAGAUGCAAUGUUUGGAGAAGUGUCAGUGCUAUUAUAACUGUGAAAAUGAAAGACAUAUGCUGAGAAGAGUGAAGAAAGAAGAUAGGAUUCUUGGUGAUGUCAUUGAAUCACACAAAAACUGGACUGGAGGAGUCCUUAUUAAAUGAAA